CUGCGAAUAUUCUCGCUGUCUUGAUUUUGUGAUAAUCAGGGCAGGCUAAACAUUCGCUAUAGUAAGACCAUGCAUGUGUCCCCAGGCCCGGGUCUUUUCCUAGGUCUGGUUUUAUAAAUGCUGGUGAUAAAA
This 132-nucleotide small nucleolar RNA is filed under the name Procavia capensis (Cape rock hyrax). RNAcentral describes it as "Small nucleolar RNA SNORA72 (ENSPCAG00000019460.1)". It matches the Rfam family "Small nucleolar RNA SNORA72". From Rfam's summary of the family: U72 is a member of the H/ACA class of snoRNAs. The snoRNA gene is located in intron 4 of the ribosomal L30 protein gene in human, mouse and chicken. Lineage: Eukaryota; Metazoa; Chordata; Mammalia; Hyracoidea; Procaviidae. The record is from RNAcentral.